This is a long non-coding RNA of Alosa sapidissima (American shad), 436 nucleotides long. RefSeq lists it as uncharacterized. The transcript is spliced from 3 exons. NCBI's taxonomy places the organism in Eukaryota, Metazoa, Chordata, Actinopteri, Clupeiformes, Clupeidae. The record is from RefSeq and is a predicted model, not a curated record.
ACAACAAGUCCUCUCAACUUUGCUGUGGGCCUCUCACAGAUAGAAGGGUCUUAACAAAAGUUACAUCAGAAGAAAUAUGCUGUGGACAUAAGUCGUAUGUUAAAUCCUGCCAGUGUUGCUGCUUUGAUAAUUCAAGUCGGGUGACAUCCCGAGCAUUGGGUGGCCCAUGUUGUGACCAGGAUCGUCUGUCAAACUCAAGUACCAUUAAAAAAGGUCAAGAAAAGUGCUGUGGCUCCUCUGCCUCCAACUCUGAAACAGAAAUCUGCUGUGGCGGUCGCAUCCACCUGCGUGAUCAUCCAGAAACUGGUUGCUGUGGAAAUGAAAUCUACAACAAGUCCUCUCAACUUUGCUGUGGGCCUCUCACAGAUAGAAGGGUCUUAACAAAAAAUACAUCAGAAGAAAUAUGCUGUGGCCAUAAGUCGUAUGUUAAAGCCCA